RNAcentral lists this ribosomal RNA (1301 nucleotides) under Salmonella enterica subsp. enterica serovar Typhimurium. RNAcentral's name for it is "partial 23S ribosomal RNA". It matches the Rfam family "Bacterial large subunit ribosomal RNA", at positions 420 to 1637 of the family's 2925-position model. Lineage: Bacteria; Pseudomonadati; Pseudomonadota; Gammaproteobacteria; Enterobacterales; Enterobacteriaceae. The record is from RNAcentral.
GGACACGUGGUAUCCUGUCUGAAUAUGGGGGGACCAUCCUCCAAGGCUAAAUACUCCUGACUGACCGAUAGUGAACCAGUACCGUGAGGGAAAGGCGAAAAGAACCCCGGCGAGGGGAGUGAAAAAGAACCUGAAACCGUGUACGUACAAGCAGUGGGAGCACCCUUCGGGGUGUGACUGCGUACCUUUUGUAUAAUGGGUCAGCGACUUAUAUUCUGUAGCAAGGUUAACCGUAUAGGGGAGCCGGAGGGAAACCGAGUCUUAACCGGGCGUUAAGUUGCAGGGUAUAGACCCGAAACCCGGUGAUCUAGCCAUGGGCAGGUUGAAGGUUGGGUAACACUAACUGGAGGACCGAACCGACUAAUGUUGAAAAAUUAGCGGAUGACCUGUGGCUGGGGGUGAAAGGCCAAUCAAACCGGGAGAUAGCUGGUUCUCCCCGAAAGCUAUUUAGGUAGCGCCUCGUGAAUUCAUCUCCGGGGGUAGAGCACUGUUUCGGCUAGGGGGCCAUCCCGGCUUACCAACCCGAUGCAAACUGCGAAUACCGGAGAAUGUUAUCACGGGAGACACACGGCGGGUGCUAACGUCCGUCGUGAAGAGGGAAACAACCCAGACCGCCAGCUAAGGUCCCAAAGUCAUGGUUAAGUGGGAAACGAUGUGGGAAGGCCCAGACAGCCAGGAUGUUGGCUUAGAAGCAGCCAUCAUUUAAAGAAAGCGUAAUAGCUCACUGGUCGAGUCGGCCUGCGCGGAAGAUGUAACGGGGCUAAACCAUGCACCGAAGCUGCGGCAGCGAACGUAUCACCCAAGACAACUUUACGGAGUUGACGAUUGACGGAGCGAAGCGACGUCAAAGCGUUCAUUAAAGUCGAGUUGGCUUAGGGAUACGUUCGUUGGGUAGGGGAGCGUUCUGUAAGCCUGUGAAGGUGUGUCGUGAGGCAUGCUGGAGGUAUCAGAAGUGCGAAUGCUGACAUAAGUAACGAUAAAGCGGGUGAAAAGCCCGCUCGCCGGAAGACCAAGGGUUCCUGUCCAACGUUAAUCGGGGCAGGGUGAGUCGACCCCUAAGGCGAGGCCGAAAGGCGUAGUCGAUGGGAAACGGGUUAAUAUUCCCGUACUUGGUGUUACUGCGAAGGGGGGACGGAGAAGGCUAUGUUGGCCGGGCGACGGUUGUCCCGGUUUAAGCGUGUAGGUGUGUGUUCCAGGUAAAUCCGGUUCACUUUAACACUGAGGCGUGACGACGAGGCACUACGGUGCUGAAGCAACAAAUGCCCUGCUUCCAGGAAAAGCCUCUAAGCAUCAGGUAACAC